AUCGAAACGCGUAUUAGAUUUUUAAUGUAACACAUUUAUUUUUAUAUAGAAUUUAUAAUCAAGAUAUUUUAAGGACACUUAAAUGUUUAUAUGUUAGGUGACUCCAAUAGUAAAAUAAUAUAGAUAUUAUCUAUAAGCAUAUUUAAUUCCUGAGUACAAAAUUCUUACGACUAAAAAAUAUCACGUUGUCAAUGUAAAAUGGGAAAAAAAUGACAAGAACAUCCGCUGUUAAUGGACCCCAAGUUUCCUAUAAUCUCACAAUAAACUAUUAAUUAAAAAAAAACAAUUUAAUUUUAUGCAUUUUAAAGUCUUAAAUAUACAGCCUAUACCCUACUUAAUUUAAACGUUUUAACAAAGAAAAUAGACCUAAAUACCUACACAUGAAACUUAAAACUAGACAUCAGACAUCUGACAGUUUAUCAUAUUACUUGGUCAACUAGAGCUAGCAAUACCGACAUCAAUAUAUUUUUAGUCAGAAAAUUAUAAUAAAAUUUAGUAAAAAUAUUUAUAGUCAUCACUUUUUAAUUGGCACUAUAACUAGUAAGAAUAAGUAAUGUAUUGAUAAUUUUUAAUGCUUGGUAAUAAGUCAUGAGCAACCGUUAAAAUUAGGUUCUCUCACGCUGAGUCUAUCAAGUGGCACGUCGAUAAUUCUCUCAACGGAUGCUAUUCGGAAGGGAGCAACAGAUAAGGUGUUCCUUCUUUCCAUUGGGAAUCGGCGGCGGUGGCGGUAAAGGUGAAAGAGAGUUCGAAGAAAUACCCAAGGCACAGUUCUUAUACUCGGCAAGGAGUCUGUAUGUGCUAACGCCCCACCACCAACUUAACCACUGCACUGUAUUCGUUCUAUACCCUCUGUUCCAUGUAGUGGCGGCAUUAGGUGAUAUCUUAUAGUGUGUGUGGCCCAGACAGGUGUAAUGGCAAACACAAAAAUUAUCGAUAUUUUCAACUUAGUGUAACAUCGAUAUAAAUUAUCAAAAAUAUUAUGUAGUUUCUCAACAUUUCUCUAGGACUUUGCUUCAAUUAAAAAACUUCUAAACGACUGAUAUGGUUGAUGUUAGAUUGAUAAACUUUAAGUAAAAAAUAUUCAUUUGAAACGUUUAGAGUAACCAGUUAUUACAAGUUACAAAUAUUUUAAAAUCUGAUGCUCCUGGCUGCAACUCUUAUUCCAAGGCUGUUAAACAUAACUUUAGAGCCAAAAUCACACGUAUUUAUAGAAACCAGAUUAAUGUAUUCACUUUAAAAAUGAGAAGUCGUUUUUCUUAGAAUUUGAAAUCAGAUCAUUCGCAUAUAAAAAAACAUAAAAUUAAUUGCUUAUAUCUUUAGGGAAGACAAAUUUUGAAUUAAUCGUUAUAAGCAACGAGACGUUUUAAAAAAUGCAUAACUACUUAUAUUUUAAUGUAUAUUUCAACAUGCAUAGUUUUUUUUUUAAUAAUAGUAAUGAUGAACUAUGUUUUACCACUGUAAAUGUCAAAGAUCAAAACGUGAUACUUGGUGAUGACUGUGCAAUGAACGUAGCAAUGGUUGUUGCUAUGCGCACAGUAUGACAUUUAUACGUGUCGAAUAGCAUUUACUUUGGAUAUGAGUGACGACAGCAGGCAAUACAGCCAGAGGAAAAGAAUUAAAGAGUUAUACUAUAAGCACCACAUUUUAUAAGAAAUCAUACUAUUCGUUAACAUCCCUGAGGAUUGAACCCACGAGAAAUAAUAUUAAUUAUUGAUCUGUCUACAGAAAUUUUGUUCUUAACUUUAGUAUAUACAGUAAACUUUUUGUUCGUUGAUGUUUUAUUUUUAGAUAUUGAGAAAAACUAUAUAGAGUGUUCAGUAAGUAAGGGAACGGGUUUCUAUUCUGAUUAUUUGUAACAAUUUACCUGUUUCUUUACUUACUGAACACCUUGUAUAUUAGUCAUACAGUUUUGUUCAUAUAUUAUUACUCACAUAUAUGUAUUAUAGUAUAAGGCCGACUUUUCAUGGAAGCCAAUCCCACCGUUGGGAUCCUUGUCGGAAAAUAAUUUUUUGUUCGUCAAAAAUAUGGGAUAGGGUUUGAUUUAUUAGAUGAAACAAUUAUACGAUCCUUUGUUCGGAGAAAUCCACCCUAGUUACAAUCUACGGUACAGAUUUGCAAUGUGGUCGGAUUCAAUAUUACUUAAACAAUAAAAAUUGAGUAGCUUAUUACAAAACAUAUAGGAACCCAAAACCAAUUUUAUUUUAAGCAUCCAUUGGAUAAUAACUAGUCAAGUAGAUAUCUAAAAAGGAAGUUAAACAUUAUCAAUUACUGAAUUGAGAAAUAUGAUCCAAGAUGCUCGUAAUUCAUUAGAGGGUUGUUUUUUCAAUAUAAAUGGAUUUUUUAAAAUCUCUCUUAGUGUUAUUUAAAUGGUGCCUUAGAUUUCAGUAAGAGAUAAGUUGACAACUUAAUUGGUACUCGCCGUCUUGUCUACACUCUGAAAUGUUUUUACAGUCCUAACCAGUCCAUUCAAGUGCGAUCCAAUAAUCCGUUAAGAACCUACGCGGUGAUAUGUUUAUCGGCAACAA
Daktulosphaira vitifoliae (grape phylloxera) is the source of this 2525-nucleotide long non-coding RNA. RefSeq lists it as uncharacterized. NCBI's taxonomy places the organism in Eukaryota, Metazoa, Arthropoda, Insecta, Hemiptera, Phylloxeridae. The transcript has 3 exons. The record is from RefSeq and is a predicted model, not a curated record.